ACAACGAAGAGUUUGAUCCUGGCUCAGGAUGAACGCUAGCGACAGGCCUAACACAUGCAAGUCGAGGGGCAGCGCGAUGGUAGCAAUACCGUUGGCGGCGACCGGCGCACGGGUGCGUAACAGGUGUGCAAUCUGUCCAUA
Molecule: ribosomal RNA, 141 nt
Filed under: Bacteroidales bacterium
Lineage: Bacteria; Pseudomonadati; Bacteroidota; Bacteroidia; Bacteroidales
Description: partial 16S ribosomal RNA
Rfam family: Bacterial small subunit ribosomal RNA
Source: RNAcentral